RNAcentral lists this ribosomal RNA (479 nucleotides) under Tannerella forsythia. Its description in RNAcentral is "bacterial SSU rRNA". It matches the Rfam family "Bacterial small subunit ribosomal RNA", at positions 9 to 483 of the family's 1533-position model. The record is from RNAcentral. Lineage: Bacteria; Pseudomonadati; Bacteroidota; Bacteroidia; Bacteroidales; Tannerellaceae.
GAGUUUGAUUCUGGCUCAGGAUGAACGCUAGCGAUAGGCUUAACACAUGCAAGUCGAGGGGCAGCGAGGGUAGCAAUACCUGUCGGCGACCGGCGCACGGGUGAGUAACGCGUAUGUAACCUGCCCGCAACAGGGGGAUAACCCGGCGAAAGUCGGACUAAUACCGCAUAAAACAGGGGUCCCGCAUGGGAAUAUUUGUUAAAGAUUUAUCGGUUGCGGAUGGGCAUGCGUACCAUUAGGUAGUUGGUGAGGUAACGGCUCACCAAGCCUUCGAUGGUUAGGGGUUCUGAGAGGAAGGUCCCCCACACUGGUACUGAGACACGGACCAGACUCCUACGGGAGGCAGCAGUGAGGAAUAUUGGUCAAUGGGCGGGAGCCUGAACCAGCCAAGUCGCGUGAAGGAUGACUGCCCUAUGGGUUGUAAACUUCUUUUACAAGGGAAUAAAAUGAGAUACGUGUAUUUUAUUGCAUGACCUNGA